This 1017-nucleotide long non-coding RNA is filed under the name Brachypodium distachyon (stiff brome). RNAcentral describes it as "long non-coding RNA (BDIS_LNC005761)". Lineage: Eukaryota; Viridiplantae; Streptophyta; Magnoliopsida; Poales; Poaceae. The record is from RNAcentral.
ACAGCGGCUACACCCCGACGCCGGUGACCCCGUCUCCCAAGCCCGAGAAGCCACCCAAGGGCCACAAGCCGCCCCACCACCACCACCACGCCAAGCCUCCGGCUGGCUCCCACAAGCCGGCGCCUCCCACGGCCACUCCUCCCACGCCGGCGUACAAGCCACCCACGGCCACGCCUCCGGCUCCGACGCCACCGAAGUACACUCCGUCCCCGAAGCCACCGACGCCUAAGCCCACACCACCCACGUAUACCCCGACCCCGAAGCCGCCCACUCCCACACCAAAGCCCACGCCGCCAACGUACAAGCCGGCACCCAAGCCCACUCCUCCCACGUAUAAGCCCACACCCAAGCCCUCGCCGCCGACGUACCCGCCGAAGCCAACACCACCCACCUACAAGCCGGCGCCGAAGCCGACUCCCCCGACCUACAAGCCGGCGCCGAAGCCGACACCGCCCACCUACAAGCCCGCGCCGAAGCCGACGCCCCCGACCUACAAGCCGGACCCCAAGCCGACUCCCCCGACGUACAAGCCCGCGCCGAAGCCGGCCCCCAAGCCUACGCCCCCGAACUACAAGCCGGCGCCGAAGCCGACGCCGCCGUCGUACAAGCCGGCCCCGAAGCCCACUCCCCCGGCACCGAAGCCCACGCCGCCGACACCACCAGCCUACAAGCCGGCGCCGAAGCCGAGCCCUCCGACGCCCGCCCCGCCGGCGUACAAGCCUCCGACUCCGACUCCUCCGGCGUACAAGACCCCCACUCCGAGCCCGCCGCCGCCGCCCUACCACCACUAAGAUCCAUCACUCUCUUUAGUUGGGAGCACAGGUGAGCAAUGCGGCAAUCUCAGUCUAUGCAUGCAUGAUGCAUGCAUGAAACGCAGACUGUAUCUACAUUUCCCUUUCAAAGUGCAAAGGACGAAACUUAAGACGUGAUUACUUGUGUUUUGCAGAAUGUGAUCGAAAAGACGUGAGCCGACUGUCUGAAGAUGACGAGCCUUUGAUUCUCCUCCCGUGCGUCGCC